Molecule: long non-coding RNA, 315 nt
Filed under: Daucus carota (carrot)
Lineage: Eukaryota; Viridiplantae; Streptophyta; Magnoliopsida; Apiales; Apiaceae
Description: long non-coding RNA (DCAR_LNC004064)
Source: RNAcentral
AUAAUAGUGUCCUAAGUUAAAAUUUAAAGCAUUCGAGAUAAAGAUGUAAUCCAACAGUGUCCUAGUGGUGCCUUAAAACACUAGGACACACUACAUGUGCCUUAUUUAUAAGGCACUACCACACUUGUCCUAAACCAUUUUAAUCUAUAAAAUAUUCACUUUCUCUCUCUUUUCACACCUUUUCAUACUUGGCUUAUAUAUAGUUGUAUUCAAAUAUAUUAAUAUUUUAAUAUUAAGACAUGAAGAUAAGGCAUAUUGUUGGAAUAGAUGUAUGUGUAUAGUGUCCUAAAUCACUAGGACAUUAUAUUUUAUUAU